This 31-nucleotide non-coding RNA is filed under the name Mus musculus (house mouse). Lineage: Eukaryota; Metazoa; Chordata; Mammalia; Rodentia; Muridae. The record is from RNAcentral.
UGCUCAGGCACUGAGGCCUCAUGUCUCCCUC